Molecule: ribosomal RNA, 431 nt
Filed under: uncultured bacterium
Lineage: Bacteria
Description: bacterial SSU rRNA
Rfam family: Bacterial small subunit ribosomal RNA
Source: RNAcentral
ACGAACGCUGGCGGCAUGCCUAAUACAUGCAAGUCGAACGAGACCUUCGGGUCUAGUGGCGCACGGGUGCGUAACGCGUGGGAAUCUACCCUUGGGUUCGGAAUAACAGUUGGAAACGACUGCUAAUACCGGAUGAUGACGAAAGUCCAAAGAUUUAUCGCCCAGGGAUGAGCCCGCGUAGGAUUAGCUAGUUGGUGAGGUAAAGGCUCACCAAGGCUACGAUCCUUAGCUGGUCUGAGAGGAUGAUCAGCCACACUGGGACUGAGACACGGCCCAGACUCCUACGGGAGGCAGCAGUAGGGAAUAUUGGACAAUGGGGGCAACCCUGAUCCAGCAAUGCCGCGUGAGUGAUGAAGGCCUUAGGGUUGUAAAGCUCUUUUACCCGAGAUGAUAAUGACAGUAUCGGGAGAAUAAGCUCCGGCUAACUCCGU